RNAcentral lists this long non-coding RNA (578 nucleotides) under Phascolarctos cinereus (koala). Its description in RNAcentral is "lncRNA (ENSPCIG00000037154.1)". The record is from RNAcentral. Lineage: Eukaryota; Metazoa; Chordata; Mammalia; Diprotodontia; Phascolarctidae.
CCUUUCAAGGCCCUUUCCCUCCUCCCCCACUCGCCCGCGGCUUUAAAUAAUCGCCUCUUGCAGGCGCGAAGUCUUUUCUCCUCGUAGGCAUGCGCCGUGGGUGUAAGGCGCGCGCGGCCGAGUUUGGCCCUUCGGCGGACGGCUGAUGCUCCGUGGGUUGCCACGGAGGGGAAGGCGUGCGUGCUCUGCGGAGCUUCUCGGCGGUGUAAGCCUCUGGAGCAUGGGUUGAGCCGGGCGAAGUGAAGUUUCCCCACCUGGAGCUGGGGCGCGAAUGCCCCCCGUACUGCCGAAGGGCCUCGGUUGCGGGACUUCGGAUCCAUGCGGCUGAAGUCACCCGUAGGGAUUCUAAGCAACAGAUUCUACUUAUAACACAGGAAAGGGUUCCUGUCUUGCUUGUGGUACAGUGUUGCAGCUCUUACACACCCAAGAACCAGGAAACCAUGGACUUUUCUAUGUGGACCAGAGAUCAAAUCAGAGCCGGCAAGCACUUGAACUUUUGGGUGUUUUUUUUUUCUUGAAUCCUUGUUUCUAAGAAUGUAUUCUUGAAGUAAUAAAAUUUUUUUUACUAAAACCUGUCA